This 292-nucleotide ribosomal RNA is filed under the name uncultured microorganism. Its description in RNAcentral is "partial 16S ribosomal RNA". It matches the Rfam family "Bacterial small subunit ribosomal RNA", at positions 505 to 796 of the family's 1533-position model. The record is from RNAcentral.
GUGCCAGCAGCCGCGGUAAUACGUAGGGUCCGAGCGUUGUCCGGAAUUAUUGGGCGUAAAGAGCUCGUAGGCGGCGUGUCGCGUCUGCUGUGAAAGACCGGGGCUUAACUCCGGUUCUGCAGUGGAUACGGGCAUGCUAGAGGUAGGUAGGGGAGACUGGAAUUCCUGGUGUAGCGGUGAAAUGCGCAGAUAUCAGGAGGAACACCGGUGGCGAAGGCGGGUCUCUGGGCCUUACCUGACGCUGAGGAGCGAAAGCAUGGGGAGCGAACAGGAUUAGAUACCCUGGUAGUCC